UGUUUAUUUUCUUACUAGUACUCGAAUUCAUGGAUUAGGUUUACAAUCUGAAUUUGGAAUUAAGAUAGUAGUAUAAUUUAACAUGUUGGACUUGAAAUUGACUUAGGAGAAAACUAUUAGAUUCUAUACUGUCACUUUCUGAAAACUACCAGAUUUAGUUUUAGGAGCUGUGGUUUGUUUGUAUCGUCGCAGUUUGUACGCGGUGGAUACUCAGAUUAGUGUAGGAUGAAUUUAUGCUCAUGUUGGGAUGUCGAGUUUAUUUUAUAGUAGUGUGUAGACUGUUUUGGACUGUCGGGUGCCGUUACGGUUGACGGUGGACCCAGAUUGCUGUUUUUUGCAUCGGAUUGUGCCAAUGGCACGUGAGAGUUGGUUUUUAGACCAGUUAGACCCAUUUACUUUGAUUAUUGCCUGUAAGAGCCUGAUCGAGCUCGGCAGAGACACGCUUGCAUACU
This 452-nucleotide long non-coding RNA is filed under the name Ananas comosus (pineapple). RNAcentral describes it as "long non-coding RNA (ACOM_LNC018418)". Lineage: Eukaryota; Viridiplantae; Streptophyta; Magnoliopsida; Poales; Bromeliaceae. The record is from RNAcentral.